AGGGUUUGAUCAUGGCUCAGGACGAACGCUGGCGGCGUGCUUAACACAUGCAAGUCGAGGGCGUGGAGCAAUCCACGACCGGCGAACGGGUGCGUAACACGUGAGCAACCUGCCCGCCUGUGGGGGAUAGCCGGCCCAACGGCCGGGUAAUUCCGCAUACGCUUCUCUGGUCGCAUGGCUAGGGAAGGAAAGCCGCAAGGCGCAGGUGGAGGGGCUCGCGGCCUAUCAGCUAGUUGGUGGGGUAACGGCUCACCAAGGCUACGACGGGUAGCUGGUCUGAGAGGAUGGCCAGCCACAUUGGGACUGGGAUACGGCCCAGACUCCUACGGGAGGCAGCAGUGGGGAAUCUUGCGCAAUGGCCGAAAGGCUGACGCAGCGACGCCGCGUGGAGGAUGAAGCCCUUCGGGGUGUAAACUCCUGUCACCUGGGACGAAACUCGGGUUUUGGCCUGACUGACGGUACCGGGUGAGGAAGCACCGGCUAACUCUGUGCCAGCAGCCGCGGUAAUACAGAGGGUGCGAGCGUUGUCCGGAAUCACUGGGCGUAAAGGGCGCGUAGGCGGCUUGCUGCGCGUGCGGUGAAAGCCCGGGGCUCAACCCCGGGUCUGCCGUGCGAACGAGCGAGCUAGAGUCCGGUAGAGGCCGAUGGAAUUCCGGGUGUAGCGGUGGAAUGCGUAGAGAUCCGGAAGAACACCGGUGGCGAAGGCGGUCGGCUGGGCCGGUACUGACGCUGAGGCGCGAAAGCGUGGGGAGCAAACAGGAUUAGAUACCCUGGUAGUCCACGCUGUAAACGAUGGGCACUAGAUCCUUGGGGGAGCGACCCCCUGGGGGUCGGCGCUAACGCAUUAAGUGCCCCGCCCUGGGGAGUACGGCCGCAAGGCUGAAACUCAAAGGAAUUGACGGGGG
RNAcentral lists this ribosomal RNA (905 nucleotides) under Gemmatimonadetes bacterium enrichment culture clone phylotype P10. Its description in RNAcentral is "bacterial SSU rRNA". It matches the Rfam family "Bacterial small subunit ribosomal RNA", at positions 8 to 919 of the family's 1533-position model. Lineage: Bacteria; Pseudomonadati; Gemmatimonadota. The record is from RNAcentral.